RNAcentral lists this ribosomal RNA (201 nucleotides) under uncultured bacterium. RNAcentral describes it as "partial 16S ribosomal RNA". It matches the Rfam family "Bacterial small subunit ribosomal RNA", at positions 1300 to 1500 of the family's 1533-position model. The record is from RNAcentral.
GCAGUCUGCAACUCGACUACAUGAAGCUGGAAUCGCUAGUAAUCGCGAAUCAGAAUGUCGCGGUGAAUACGUUCCCGGGUCUUGUACACACCGCCCGUCACACCAUGGGAGUCAGCAACGCCCGAAGCCGGUGACCCAACCGAAAGGAGGGAGCCGUCGAAGGUGGGGCCGAUAACUGGGGUGAAGUCGUAACAAGGUAUC